GGGUUAGUAGGUUGGUCAUGCCUCUGGUAUGUACUGGUCUCACUGAUUCCUCCUUCUGGAGAACCACGAUGCCCUUAAUUUGGUGUUUUGGGGAAUUUGGACUGUUACUUUGAAAAAAUUAGAGUGUUUAAAGCAAGCUAACGCUUGAAUACAUUAGCAUGGAAUAAUGAAAUAGGACGUUCGAUCCUAUUUUGUUGGUUUCUAGGAUUGACGUA
RNAcentral lists this ribosomal RNA (215 nucleotides) under Campeiostachys nutans. RNAcentral's name for it is "Elymus nutans partial small subunit ribosomal RNA". The stretch from base 86 to 215 matches the Rfam family "Eukaryotic small subunit ribosomal RNA", at positions 733 to 864 of the family's 1831-position model. The record is from RNAcentral. Lineage: Eukaryota; Viridiplantae; Streptophyta; Magnoliopsida; Poales; Poaceae.